Molecule: ribosomal RNA, 505 nt
Filed under: uncultured bacterium
Lineage: Bacteria
Description: partial 16S ribosomal RNA
Rfam family: Bacterial small subunit ribosomal RNA
Source: RNAcentral
GAUGAACGCUAGCUACAGGCUUAACACAUGCAAGUCGAGGGGUAACAAGAGGAAAGCUUGCUUUCUUUGUUGACGACCGGCGCACGGGUGAGUAACGCGUAUCCAACCUGCCUAUAACUAGGGAAUACCUUGCGAAAGUAAGACUAAUACCCUAUGAUUUCCUUUGAUGACAUCAGAUUAGGAAUAAAGAUUUAUCGGUUAUAGAUGGGGAUGCGUCUGAUUAGCUUGUUGGCGGGGUAACGGCCCACCAAGGCAACGAUCAGUAGGGGUUCUGGGAGGAAGGUCCCCCACAUUGGAACUGAGACCCGGUCCAAACUCCUACGGGAGGCAGCAGUGAGGAAUAUUGGUCAAUGGGCGGAAGCCUGAACCAGCCAAGUAGCGUGCAGGAUGACGGCCCUAUGGGUUGUAAACUGCUUUUAUACAGGAAUAAAGUUAGCCACGUGUGGUUAUUUGUAGGUACUGUAUGAAUAAGGACCGGCUAAUUCCGUGCCAGCCGCCGCAGUAA